Molecule: ribosomal RNA, 460 nt
Filed under: uncultured bacterium
Lineage: Bacteria
Description: partial 16S ribosomal RNA
Rfam family: Bacterial small subunit ribosomal RNA
Source: RNAcentral
CCUACGGGAGGCAGCAGUGAGGAAUAUUGGUCAAUGGACGGAAGUCUGAACCAGCCAUGCCGCGUGCAGGAUGACGGCCCUAUGAGUUGUAAACUGCUUUUGUAUUGGGGUAAACACCCCCACGUGUAGGGGCUUGAAAGUACAAUAUGAAUAAGGAUCGGCUAACUCCGUGCCAGCAGCCGCGGUAAUACGGAGGAUCCAAGCGUUAUCCGGAUUUAUUGGGUUUAAAGGGUGCGUAGGCGGUUUGAUAAGUUAGUGGUGAAAUGCAGGGGCUCAACACCAGAAUUGCCUCUAAUACUGGUAGCCUUGAGAGUAGUUGCGGUAGGCGGAAUGUAUGGUGUAGCGGUGAAAUGCUUAGAGAUCACACAGAACACCGAUUGCGAAGGCAGCUUACCAAACUAUAACUGACGUUGAGGCACGAAAGCGUGGGUAGCAAACAGGAUUAGAUACCCGAGUAGUC